Molecule: unclassified non-coding RNA, 225 nt
Filed under: uncultured Dioszegia
Lineage: Eukaryota; Fungi; Basidiomycota; Tremellomycetes; Tremellales; Bulleribasidiaceae
Description: sequence contains ITS2
Rfam family: 5.8S ribosomal RNA (bases 1-52)
Source: RNAcentral
AACGCAAAUUGCGCCCUUUGGUAUUCCGAAGGGCAUGCCUGUUUGAGUGUCUUAUAAACCUCACCCCUAAUGUUUUGUCACAAUAGGUUGGUGCUUUGGGUGUUGCCAUUUACCUGGCUCGCCUUAAAUGACUAAGUGGAAUGCGUAAUAAGUUCUCGCAACCCUCCACUCUAAUACAAUUUAUAUUCUGACCUCAAAUCAGGUAGGACUACCCGCUGAACUUAA